AGAAAUUUUUAAGGGAGGGUUGUUAUAUGCUUCAGUGUGCAUUUUAACAAGAGAAAACAGAAGAUAUGCUGUGAUAUACCUUGAGAUUGUCGGUAAGUUUUAUUACACAUAUUGUCUUUAUAUUCAUACAUAUUUAAGUUGCUUUUGUAGCAGAUAUGACUGCUUUAUGGUUAUGACUGAAUGGACAGAAAGAGUCCAAACGGUUCAUUUUCGAAUGUACCAGUCUGGUGUUUGUUACCUCAAUUUGAAAUCAUUACCAAUCAACAUGUGGUUUGAGAAUCAGCAAACUACUGAUACAUGGUUUUAAAUAUGUACAUCAUGUAGGCAAGAUUUAUUAACGAAGAACUGCAUUCAUGAUCAUGCAGACUAAAAGACAUUUAUAACUGUAAUAAAUGUUAUUUCAUCAUAAUGUAGCAUCUUUCUAUUCAUCGAUUUUUUAAUUAUAACACUAAGGGUUUUUUCACCUUUCAGUUCAUUUCACUUUAUUUUGAAAUAUUUCGAAUAUAUGUGAGCCAAAAUUAAAUAAUUCUUAAACCGCCAUCAUACUUCUCUUUCAGCAUCAGUUUACAAAAUGAGACCAGUAUCAUUAAUUGCUCUGUGUAUAAUUGGGGUACUACUUGAAGAUGCGAUUGCUCUACCAUGCAUGUCCAAUGACACAAAGAUAAAAUUUGAAGCAGCCAGAAAAGCAUUGACAGAUCUUGGAAACGACAUCAAAAAUAAAAUAACGAAAUUAGAUAGCGACAUGGGGGUUUUAGUUUCGGAUUUUCAGA
Molecule: long non-coding RNA, 770 nt
Filed under: Mytilus galloprovincialis (Mediterranean mussel)
Lineage: Eukaryota; Metazoa; Mollusca; Bivalvia; Mytilida; Mytilidae
Source: RNAcentral